AUGGUGGCUCCUGUUGUGUCAUGACUGCAGGUCACCCUCUUUUUUAUUCUUCUUCGUUGUGUACGCGGACUAGUGUGCUCUCGUGUGUGGUAGAGCUGGCACUUUUAUUUUUGAUAUUUAAAUUCUGGACACAAGACGUCGCACACCUUCAUCAUGCAGCUUUUCAGAAACUCUCCUUCGCACAGAGCCAUCACCACCAUCAAAGACUUCACCCACAGGAGCCCCCUCCUCACUCCACAGCUAUGAGGAUUUCACACCACCUUCUCCCACUACAACCCUUCAUAUUCAUGAUGUGAGGACGCAGUUUGACCCUUUAGACCUACUAAAGAACCCAGUCCGCCUGAGCUUAUCUUUAUAUUUUUACAUGUUGUAGUGCCAUUUCUGGGAGUAUUUUAAGUUGCUAUACAUCAAUACAACCAUUAUAUCCCAAAUUUUAAUCAUAUGUAUGCAUUAAGUCAUCAGUAACUAAAUAAAUUGCAAUAGUGGUAUUUUUACACAAAUUUCUAGUUAAAGUAAUUUCAGAGGUUCAUCCCUGAAAAUUGUAAAUGUAAAAAAGUUGCAUAAAACAGUUUCCAAAUUAAUUUUGAGUGUCUUCAUAGUUUUAUUUUUGAGAUACACCAAUUUGUAUAUACUGCAGCCACCAACUUUGAAAUUCUCAUUUACAUGACUUAUUUAAACAUUCUCCUCUUGAAUGCAAAAUUCUUAAAAACAUCUUUUAUGCUUUAAGAGUAAAUAAAUCUGAAAGCUGUUCCAUCCUAAAAGAGUACAACAAUGUGUAGUUUAUGAUGUUCUAAAGGUUUCAGCAUCUUUUUGAAUUUGUCACAUGUGUGGAAAGGUAUGAGUGAGCCUUUGUAUCAUACUGUGAGUGAUGCUCGUCAGCACACAAACCCAGAGUUUCUCUACAGGAACACAGAGAGAGUUAUUCCCUGUACUGUAAGGACACAUUCAGCAUUGUGCAGUAAAUCCAGAUCAUCCCAGUUAAAUGAUUACAUGGAUGUGAGUGUGGUCGUCAGAGCAGCACUGAUCAGUGUCAGGUUAUAAUGACCAAGGUGUACACAAACACUAAGUUUGAGUGUGUGCAGUGAGACUUCAGUCAAAGCAUUUAACUGAGGUGUGAAAAAUAAGCUGAACUCUACAGCUUGUUGUGGUCCCCUGUGGCUUGACAGCCUUCCAGCUGUUCUCCAGCAUUUUCAUUUACAGUCAUAAAAUAUCUCCACAUGUUGCUCCUCUUUCUCUCUCUCUGCAGUCCAAAUGCGUCUUCUGAGCGCAUCUGAGUCACGUGACGGCACAGUAACAAAUCCCAGCAGGGCAGGAAGAAGGGGGCGGAGCAAAGUGCGUCUGCCGCAUAAGAAGAGGUGUUCACACAGACAGAGCUGCUGUUUCAUCCACAGCGAGUAAAUAGUGAACCUCCAGGAGAGAAACAAACUAAAGUAUCGAUCAUAUACCACUACCAACGUUUGGAUCGAUAUCUGCAUCGAUCUGCA
Molecule: long non-coding RNA, 1484 nt
Organism: Oreochromis niloticus (Nile tilapia)
Lineage: Eukaryota; Metazoa; Chordata; Actinopteri; Cichliformes; Cichlidae
Exons: 2
Source: RefSeq, a predicted model, not a curated record